UUGCUUUAGCAGCAAAUAUACUAAUAUUGGAACAAUACAGAGAAUAUUAGCAUGACCCCUGCACAAGGAUGCUUUGUAAAUUCAUAAGGUAUCCAUCACUUUU
Molecule: small nuclear RNA, 103 nt
Organism: Nannospalax galili (Upper Galilee mountains blind mole rat)
Lineage: Eukaryota; Metazoa; Chordata; Mammalia; Rodentia; Spalacidae
Source: Ensembl